Long non-coding RNA from Oenanthe melanoleuca, 885 nucleotides. RefSeq lists it as uncharacterized. The record is from RefSeq and is a predicted model, not a curated record. The transcript is spliced from 3 exons. NCBI's taxonomy places the organism in Eukaryota, Metazoa, Chordata, Aves, Passeriformes, Muscicapidae.
UGGUGAAGAAGUUGCUUUAUGCGAGAUUUUUCUCCCGGGCUGUUGACAUAGGGAACCUUGUCCUCGGGCAGGCAGCUGUAGUACUGGUGCACCUAGGGAGCAAGAGAGGGGACUGCAGUGGGGUUCCCUGGCCGAGCCCGUGCCCCUGCGCCCGGCCAGCAGCCACCCCCUGAGGCAGCGAGCGCUGGGUCUUUCCCAAGACUCUGAGCAGAGAAACACAGCCAGGAGCUGCUCCAGGCAGAGGAACAGCGUGCCCGGCGCUGGGAGCGCAGUGCAGCCCAGAGAGGAAGCACACCCUGAGCCCAGCAUCUCUGCUCCGACUGCCACACCUGGAUGUGCACUCGAGGGCCGGGCCAGCACCGGGAGGGGACUCGCUGGCAGAGCAUCCACUCUGAAAUAGCCACGCUGGCGUUGAACAGCUUGGGAAGAACCAGGAGAAGGUAAAGAGCCGCCAAAUUACUAAAGCAACGAGACCCAAGACGCUCACCCUGGGCAAAACCCAAGGAUGGGAGCUCUUCCUUCAGCUGCCAGGGUGCUGCUUUCCUGGAGCACAACCCAGCAGGACCUACGUGCCCAGCUCUGCUCCUGCUUCCGCUGGGAAGUUUUCCAUUAAGUCUCAGCAGGACUGCAGGAACUGGUUCCCAUCACACCAGCAGCAUAGCUUGGCAGGGAUGGGCAAUUUGGUUUGAGAAGCAAAACAAAAUAAAUACAACAGGCUCCAACCUGUGUUCUGUUGCCUGAAAUAACCUGAAAGGGUUUGCUUUGUAUCUGCAUCAGCCAAGGGGACCUUCUACAGGAGUGCUCAUGGAGAGGAUGGAGCAGAAGCAGCUGCCAAUCCUUGUCCAGUACCUGUGGAACAUCCCAUGGGGAGAAAAUCCUUACACC